GAUCUCCUAGGGAGGCAGCAGUAGGGAAUCUUCCACAAUGGGCGAAAGCCUGAUGGAGCAACGCCGCGUGGGUGAAGAAGGUCUUCGGAUCGUAAAACCCUGUUGUUAGAGAAGAAAGUGCGUGAGAGUAACUGUUCACGUUUCGACGGUAUCUAACCAGAAAGCCACGGCUAACUACGUGCCAGCAGCCGCGGUAAUACGUAGGUGGCAAGCGUUAUCCGGAUUUAUUGGGCGUAAAGAGAACGCAGGCGGUCUUUUAAGUCUGAUGUGAAAGCCUUCGGCUUAACCGGAGUAGUGCAUUGGAA
RNAcentral lists this ribosomal RNA (305 nucleotides) under uncultured bacterium. RNAcentral's name for it is "bacterial SSU rRNA". It matches the Rfam family "Bacterial small subunit ribosomal RNA", at positions 333 to 631 of the family's 1533-position model. The record is from RNAcentral.